UCAAUAGAAAAAUCAUCAAUCAUAAAAACAAGCAAGAGCCCCUCAAAUGCUUGUCACUGUCUUACCUUCUGCUAUCGUGGGAGAGGACCGACUCCACUUAGAGAUGCACUAAAUCUACUCUUACUUUAAAUAAAAUAUUCCUAAAGUAUUACAACAUUCCUGGAAUUAACAAAUGAAAUGUAUAAUGUAUUGUGAGUUGGGGUUUAAGUCAUGAACAGGUAACAUUUUACUAGUUUGAAAAUCAUGA
RNAcentral lists this long non-coding RNA (247 nucleotides) under Pan troglodytes (chimpanzee). Its description in RNAcentral is "long non-coding RNA NONPTRT001622". Lineage: Eukaryota; Metazoa; Chordata; Mammalia; Primates; Hominidae. The record is from RNAcentral.